UACGGAUUCGACAGGGAUAGUUCGAGCUUGGGCUGCGAGCCGAGGGGAUCGUCCUCGCAAAAACGUCAAAGCCAAUAAUAACUGGCAAACAAAACAACAACCUCGCUUUAGCUGCCUAAUAACAGCUUGAAGCGGUUCCUCCCUCCAUCGCCCAUGUGGUAGGGUAAGGGACUCACUCUUAGUGGGCUACGCCGUAGUUCUCCGCCUGGGGACAAAGGAAGAGAUGAAUCAGGCUAGCUGUCAAGACGCCCGUCGAUAGGCAGAAGGAACAGCGAAACUCGAAUAUAUCGACUACGCUCGUAGAUGUUCAAGUGCCGUUAUCUUUGGACGUGGGUUCGAUUA
Molecule: transfer-messenger RNA, 342 nt
Filed under: Pseudobacillus wudalianchiensis
Lineage: Bacteria; Bacillati; Bacillota; Bacilli; Caryophanales; Bacillaceae
Description: Bacillus wudalianchiensis transfer-messenger RNA
Rfam family: transfer-messenger RNA
About the family: Bacterial tmRNA, also known as 10Sa RNA or SsrA, is named for its dual tRNA and mRNA-like properties. Its role is to liberate the mRNA from a stalled ribosome.
Source: RNAcentral